Lycium barbarum (goji berry) is the source of this 550-nucleotide long non-coding RNA. RefSeq lists it as uncharacterized. NCBI's taxonomy places the organism in Eukaryota, Viridiplantae, Streptophyta, Magnoliopsida, Solanales, Solanaceae. The transcript is spliced from 3 exons. The record is from RefSeq and is a predicted model, not a curated record.
AAGCCCACCAAAUUGAUUAAUUUCCAUGUGCCAAAUUAAUAUAAGGGGCCAUAUAUGCAUUAUUUAUUCAUUAGAAACUUCAAGAACCAAGAACAAAACACAAAGAAGAGCAAAAAUAAGGCCAUUUCGGGUUUGGCCAUAGGAAAAUCACCCCUCAAAAUCUUGCCUCUAAAAUUAUUUUCUUGUUGAAUUCCUACUAAAUUAAGUGUCCUUUACAACUUGGUGUAGUUGUUUUGGAAGAAGGAGCACUUAUUUCUUCAAGUUGACAACUUGUUCAAUUGAAGAAAUUUGUAGAAAAAGAUUUUGAAGGAAACGGGAAUUGAAUUUGGAAAGGCGUAAAGAGCAUACAAGGUACAGACGACAGAUUUGCUGACCGCCUGCCUAGGAUAUCUAUUCUGCUAUUUUGGGAGUGCUCUUUUGUCCAGAGCCUAUAUGUUGGUACAGUCUGCUGCUAUUGUAUAUAUGUAUGCUAUUCAGGGGUAUGACGGGGCCCUGUCCCGUCUUAUGAUUCUGUUAUGUGCUGUAGAGGUCUGUAGACAUACUUGUGUGG